This 494-nucleotide ribosomal RNA is filed under the name uncultured bacterium. RNAcentral describes it as "partial 16S ribosomal RNA". It matches the Rfam family "Bacterial small subunit ribosomal RNA", at positions 28 to 507 of the family's 1533-position model. The record is from RNAcentral.
GACGAACGCUGGCGGCGUGCUUAACACAUGCAAGUCGAACGGUGAAGCGCCUUCCUUUUUGGUGGGUGUGGAUGAGUGGCGAACGGGUGAGUAACACGUGAGUAACCUGCCCCCUUCUUCUGGAUAACCGCAUGAAAGUGUGGCUAAUACGGGAUAUUCUGGGUCUGUCGCAUGAUGGGUCUGGGAAAGAUAUUGUUUCGGUGGGGGAUGGGCUCGCGGCCUAUCAGCUUGUUGGUGGGGUGAUGGCCUACCGAGGCGGUGACGGGUAGCCGGCCUGAGAGGGUGGACGGUCACACUGGGACUGGGACACGGCCCAGACUCCUACGGGAGGCAGCAGUGGGGAAUAUUGCACAAUGGGCGCAAGCCUGAUGCAGCGACGCCGCGUGAGGGAUGGAGGCCUUCGGGUUGUGAACCUCUUUCGCCAGUGAAGCAGGCCUGCCUCGUUUGUGGGUGGGUUGACGGUAGCUGGAUAAGAAGCGCCGGCUAACUACGUG